ACUGAAUGGGCCACUCCAGAAAAAAAGAUUCUCCUUGCAAUCACACCUCCCAAAGCUAUACCCAAUCAAUGAGAGUGACUCAAAACUUUGGAUUUCCAAUCCUAAGGUAGAUGCACCAGUUAUCAAGGUGGCCAAGCACUCCACUCUACCUAUUGAUAGUAAUGCUUCUCUUAGGCAUCCUAUGAACAAGAGAAUUGAUGCCAAC
This is a non-coding RNA of Pelobates cultripes (western spadefoot toad), 205 nucleotides long. NCBI's taxonomy places the organism in Eukaryota, Metazoa, Chordata, Amphibia, Anura, Pelobatidae. The record is from the annotation of a GenBank genome assembly.